This 91-nucleotide non-coding RNA is filed under the name Schistosoma margrebowiei. The record is from RNAcentral. Lineage: Eukaryota; Metazoa; Platyhelminthes; Trematoda; Strigeidida; Schistosomatidae.
AUUUAGCUGCUGAGUCCAGAUAUUCACCAGCUUGUGAACGUCGACUCUCAGAUGCAGGUACAUACAAUAGGACGAAACGCGCGUCCUAGAU